RNAcentral lists this ribosomal RNA (492 nucleotides) under uncultured bacterium. Its description in RNAcentral is "partial 16S ribosomal RNA". It matches the Rfam family "Bacterial small subunit ribosomal RNA", at positions 29 to 507 of the family's 1533-position model. The record is from RNAcentral.
AGUGAACGCUGGCGGUAGGCCUAACACAUGCAAGUCGAACGGCAGCACAGUAAGAGCUUGCUCUUACGGGUGGCGAGUGGCGGACGGGUGAGGAAUACAUCGGAAUCUACUUUUUCGUGGGGGACAACGUAGGGAAACUUACGCUAAUACCGCAUACGACCUACGGGUGAAAGCAGUGGAUCUUCGGACCUUUCGCGAUUGAAUGAGCCGAUGUCGGAUUAGCUAGUUGGCGGGGUAAAGGCCCACCAAGGCGACGAUCCGUAGCUGGUCUGAGAGGAUGAUCAGCCACACUGGAACUGAGACACGGUCCAGACUCCUACGGGAGGCAGCAGUGGGGAAUAUUGGACAAUGGGCGCAAGCCUGAUCCAGCCAUACCGCGUGAGUGAAGAAGGCCUUCGGGUUGUAAAGCCCUUUUGUUAGGAAAGAAAAGCAGCAGGUUAAUACCCCGCUGUUCUGACGGUACCCAAAGAAUAAGCACCGGCUAACUUCGUG